Molecule: long non-coding RNA, 1343 nt
Filed under: Oryctolagus cuniculus (rabbit)
Lineage: Eukaryota; Metazoa; Chordata; Mammalia; Lagomorpha; Leporidae
Description: lncRNA (ENSOCUG00000039468.1)
Source: RNAcentral
GAGAAUAUGUGAGUAUGUGUUUGGUGUGGGUGAAGGAAAUUUGAUUGGAGUCUUAUGUAAAUCUUCCCAUAUUCUUAAUGACUAUAAAGUAUAUUUUAUAUUAUUUUAUAUUAAAUGAAGUAACAAACACAUAUGCAAUUUGAGAACGGCAUGAAGGUGGGGAGCUGAGGGUGUCGGGAUUCCGUAAGAUGUGGAACCAGGAAGAGUGGCAGCAUUGCAGGAAUGUUUCCCAUGCAAUUGGAGAUCUGUCGUCCUGAAUUCAAAGUCAGGUCAAUCAGUGAGGUGAUGUGGUUUUCUCCAGCAAAAUUUAACUUCCGGGGUCUGGACGGCGUAGCUAGAGACACAGAUUAGUGGAUGUGGGCCUCGAUCAGGCAAAAACAAUGGGAGGGGGUGUGGGAAGGGGCAAAGGAGCUAAGGGUAUUUUAAGGAAAUGAGCCUAGUAAUGAAGCAAAGCCUCUGAGCUGGGUGAGGAGGAGAGUGGGGUGCACAUGGGGUACUGCGAGAAACUGGUAGAAACUGUUCCAACGAGUGCACUAGUAGGUGGCAGGAGGUGACAGCCAGCGAGUGGCUUGGAUACAGUGUCACCUGGGUGCAGCUGUUAGGACAGCAAGGUCCAGGGCAUGACCACAGAAAUGUGUACUUUACCAGACAGAGGAUUGGAUUAUCGGAAGUGUAAGAGGUGACUUGAAUGGCACACGUAGGUAUUCAUGUAUUUUUGCAUAAUAAUGAAAUUGAAGAAAAGGAAGACAGUGAGGUAGGAACGCGAGUCAUCGACGAGUAAGUGGGAUAAUGAGGUCCUUGACCUCUAGGGAUGUUCAACUGCUUGAGUGUGGCUCACUGCCUGGAGAAAGAAGCGAGUUAGCGACGGAUGGGGCUACAGCAGGUAAGAGGGAUGAGGAAGAGGAGAGAGGAAGGGGCUAUGAAGUGGAAAUGGUGCCACUUCUGCCUCCAGCAGUGGUGGUGAUGGUGGUGGUGGACUGAAGGCGGUGUUGUGCAAGGGUUAAUCCUUGGGCUGGUGCUGUGGCUCACUAGGCUUAUCCUCUGCCUGUGGCGCUGGUACUCCAGGUUCUAGUUCUGGUUGGGGCGCCGGGUUCUGUCCCAGUUGCUCCUCUUCCAGUCCAGCUCUCUGCUGUGGCCCAGGAAGGCAGUGGAGGAUGGACCAAGUGCUUGGGCCCUGUACCUGCAUGGGAGACCAGGAAGAAGCACCUGGCUCCUGGCUUGAUCAGCGCAGUGUGCCAGCCGUAGCAGCCAUUUGGAGAGUGAACCAAUGGAAGGAAGACCUUUCUCUCUGUCUCUCUCUCUCACUGUCUAACCCUGCCUGUCAAAAAAAAAAAAAAAAAAAA